Molecule: long non-coding RNA, 2162 nt
Filed under: Setaria viridis
Lineage: Eukaryota; Viridiplantae; Streptophyta; Magnoliopsida; Poales; Poaceae
Description: long non-coding RNA (SVIR_LNC001662)
Source: RNAcentral
CGAGGAUUUCAGAUCUAAAACCCUUUUCGCGAGUUGACUCUCCGAGCUCCGUAGAUCUGAAGUCAAAGUUCGGCCGCCCGCAAAACUCCAACGAGCAGAUCUGGCAAAUCCGUUCGUCCUCGGCUGAAGGUGAGCGCACCGUUGCGUUCGUAUCGUCGAUCUCGUUCCGUUUUGCUAUUCAUGCGCGAGAUCGGACUUUAUUUUCAGCUUCUCCUUUUUUUCUCUAUUUCUUCCCAUUACUGUUCUGUACCGUACCAUGGCCGCCUGUUCCGCUCCAGCGCCAUGCGCACCGCCCGCCCGUGCCGCAUCUCGCCUGCGCGCUGCGCCGUCGCCGUCCUGCCCCGCGGGUGCUGCCACCGGCCACCGCUCGCCGCCGGCCGGUCGUGCCCACCGAGUUGCCUAGUCACCGGUAACGCACGGACAGAACCAGAUGCAACCAGGAAGAAGAAGGAGGUUUUGUGUUUUAGCCCCCGAAGAAAAAGGAAAUUCCGAUGGAAAGUUUGUGUCUUGUGGUUUUGCAAAAAGGUCCUGGAAAAGUUAGAUUUUCAAGUCUCAGUCCAGCCCCUGAGUUUUUGCAAAUCUAACCCUGUAAAUUCUGUUAUUUGCAAGCACUAUUGCCUGAGUCUUGCAAAUCUUCCUUUCUACCCCCUGCCGUCUAUGAUUAAUUGCAUCUAGGUCCCUACCACCUUGUUUAUCUCAUAACUUCUUCGUUCUAGCUCCGUUUUGAGUGAUUCUUUCGCUCACGCGUUCGUCUUAACGAGUAGAUUACUUUGGUACUGCUUUUAAGUACUAUUUUUGAUGAUUGGUGUACUGUUUUUAAUUAAAUGCAUUUGUUUGCUUGUAUGUGCUCGUGUGACGCGUAUAGAAGAAGCGUAGUUUGAGGAAUCCAAAGAAGAGGAAGACUGAAGACUCUGAGCAGCAGCAGGGCUUUGAGGAAGGCAAGUGUCCUUGGUCAUUCCCGUUUAUACCUAAUUGACAUGCAUUGAUUCACAAUAUUUAUUUACCGCGUGCAUUAACAUGAUGGGUUCCUAUUAAGGACAAUGCCUAGUUUCUCUUGAUCAUACCUUGCAGCCGGGUUGUUUAAUUAAUCUUGAGGGUAGAUUAUGCUUAGCUUGCUCAACUGGGUUGGUAAAUAAACAACAUGGUUAAUUUAUUUAUUUACUCUGUUCCUUUAUGUUGAUUUAAUUACAAGACCAUAUAUUUUAAUCGGAACAUGGAGCGACCACCCAGGAAAACAAUACAGCCACAAGGACUAAAUGGCUCUGGUCUUGGCUAACUAAUUAGAGGACUCUAGUGUUGGACUGGUGUUAAGGGGGGGCAUGACUCGCGGAACCUCGUGCACUGGAACACACUAGGGAAGUCUUUAUAAAGGCCUCGUAGCGUCCCUAUGCAAUCACACCUCGGAAGUGUGGUAUUGUGCCUACUUUUGCACAGCAUGGUUGGGUCUAAAGUUCACCUGAACUUUUACGCGACUUGUGGGUAAAGAUGUACAACCUCUGCAGAGUGUAAAACUGUUAUAACAGCCGUGCUCACGGUCAAGAGCGGCCUGGACCCUCACAUGAUUAAUUUACUUGAAGAUGAUACUACUGUGUUAUAUGUUAUGUUCAUGCUUAUGGUAUAUCAUUGUUCUAUAUUAAUUGUGGGAUGGUAUAAACUUACAUUUUCUAGUAAUUAGAUGAUGAAUAAAAUUGGACCAACUAAAAGUGCUAAUCGCAAUUAACCUUGUCAGCCUUCCACCAUAUAAAGCCUUGCAUGUCAUAUAUAUUUCUCUCUUGCUGAGUACGACAUGUGCUCACGCUUGUGUUUUAUAUAUUGCAUCUACAACGUCCGGAUUGCUGCUCAGACCCGGAGAAUUUUGAAGAUUACUAAGGUUUUUGGAAGAGUUCUAGGCGAGUCCACCAGUCAGCUGCCUGUGGAGUUUUUGGAGAUCCGCUGCCUAUAUUAGAGAUUUCUGUCUCAAUUCUGGUUACAUAAUUUAUGUCAUUCUCUCUUUACGCUAUAACACUGUAUUUGAUAUUUACUGAAGUCAUCGUAUGUGUGAAACUUGAUCCUGGCACACAUAUGAUAGUCAUCUAGUUUUGCCUUUAAAACCGGGUGUGACAAACACUCAACUCAAGGCUAACCUAUUACAUCACUAUCCAAAAUUUAGGUUGUCGAGGAGU